GGAAGUAGAGAGGAGACGUUGCUGGAAGUUGCAAUCGAGGAGGAAACCAAUGAGGAUGGAAGAGUACCGGACUAACGUGAUUGAGAGGAUAUUAAACCUCACCCUGGAGAUCGUCUACCUGCUGACCGGAGAGAGAUUUCCUCUUGUGAAGUCAGGUGAUCAUAUGACCAUCA
Rana temporaria (common frog) is the source of this 173-nucleotide long non-coding RNA. RefSeq lists it as uncharacterized. Lineage: Eukaryota; Metazoa; Chordata; Amphibia; Anura; Ranidae. The record is from RefSeq and is a predicted model, not a curated record. The transcript is spliced from 3 exons.